AGUGAACGCUGGCGGUAGGCCUAACACAUGCAAGUCGAACGGCAGCACAGUAAGAGCUUGCUCUUACGGGUGGCGAGUGGCGGACGGGUGAGGAAUACAUCGGAAUCUACUUUUUCGUGGGGGAUAACGUAGGGAAACUUACGCUAAUACCGCAUACGACCUACGGGUGAAAGCAGGGGAUCUUCGGACCUUGCGCGAUUGAAUGAGCCGAUGUCGGAUUAGCUAGUUGGCGGGGUAAAGGCCCACCAAGGCGACGAUCCGUAGCUGGUCUGAGAGGAUGAUCAGCCACACUGGAACUGAGACACGGUCCAGACUACUACGGGAGGCAGCAGUGGGGAAUAUUGGACAAUGGGCGCAAGCAUGAUCCAGCCAUACCGCGUGGGUGAAGAAGGCCUUCGGGUUGUAAAGACCUUUUGUUGGGAAAGAAAAGCAGCAGGUUAAUACCCCGCUGUUCUGACGGUACCCAAAGAAUAAGCACCGGCUAACUUCGUG
This 492-nucleotide ribosomal RNA is filed under the name uncultured bacterium. RNAcentral's name for it is "partial 16S ribosomal RNA". It matches the Rfam family "Bacterial small subunit ribosomal RNA", at positions 29 to 507 of the family's 1533-position model. The record is from RNAcentral.